Molecule: long non-coding RNA, 1243 nt
Filed under: Triticum aestivum (bread wheat)
Lineage: Eukaryota; Viridiplantae; Streptophyta; Magnoliopsida; Poales; Poaceae
Description: long non-coding RNA (TAES_LNC004244)
Source: RNAcentral
UUUGUUGUGAAUUCCUUUCAACCUGUGGUUCCUGUUGGUCCCAUAGUUUUGUGCCGGCUAUUCACCAACCGAGCCAGAGUGGCCAAUCGCUCUCCACCUCCGCAUUCGGCAUGUUCUGCUUGUCAGUGUCAUCUUCUGGCUCUCCACCUCCGCAUUCGGCGUGUUCUGCUUGUCAGUGUCAUCUUCUGGCUCUCCACUCCUAUGUCAUCUGGUUCUCGUUGGCGGCGUGUACCCAACAUCUUCUGCUAGGCCAUACUUGUUCAACAUUGGUUGAUAUGAUUUACUGGACAAUGUGGACAUGCUCACCUCGACAGAUCUGAGCAAGAGAUUUUGUUCCUAAUCAUGCCCUUCAUCUUCAGCUCACACCAUAUGGAUUAGUGCUCUCUGACUGCUCCACGUGGAUUGAACUGGACGUAUAUGUGUGGCAUAUAUGUAAUUCUUGUGGUGGUCAGAAGUGUAGUUCUUGAUGCUACUAUGAGCUCUUAGAUCUUCCAUGGGGUCUCUUUCCUGAAACUCUGGAGAUUUUCAAUUGAUUGAGCUUGUUUCCAUACAGUAUAAGGUUUAUAUUAGUCGGGCCUUCUAGUUUUGUAUCCUCUGGCAGUAUUUGUUAACUGAAACUCUGCAUUCAUGAUUCAAACUUAUAGUAACCUAAUCCAAGAGAGUUGCAUUUCUGCGCAUUAUGCCAUUGUUCUUCCUGUUGUAGCUGAAACAAACUUUCCCAGUGGGCGCACCUCAUUGUUUCUAUCCUUAUUCUCUGUACUAGGCUUAUUUUUUAUUUAUCAGAUCACUUGAUGUUUCAGGUGGGAGAGUGUUUAAACAAACCAUCCUAGAGUAGUUGAACGGAAGUAAGCAAUAUUAGCAAAUGAGGACGAAUGACUGACAACACGACAGUAGAUUUUACUGAGCUGGUUGCCAGGAAGAUAAGACGGUGAUCAGAAGGGUGUAGAAAGAUGGAGCCUCUGCUCACACCAAAUGGAGUGAAGCUGUAAAACCCUAGGAGGAUUAUGGUAACGAAGCAGACGUGUUGGUGUGACUUGACUAGUCGUGGUUGGCUGAAAUAACAUUUUUUGUUGCUAUUACCAUUUUUCUGGCUCGAGAAUAUUGAUUCUUUCAGAGGCUAUACUGCUGAUCUGUAGUGCACCUGAAUGUUUCAUGCGAAAGGGGUGAACUCCACAUCUAGGGUGUGAACACACAAAGACCGUGGCUUCCACUUUUUUUAAAAAGAAUUAUAAGGCGUCCACAU